Molecule: ribosomal RNA, 442 nt
Filed under: uncultured Lachnospiraceae bacterium
Lineage: Bacteria; Bacillati; Bacillota; Clostridia; Lachnospirales; Lachnospiraceae
Description: bacterial SSU rRNA
Rfam family: Bacterial small subunit ribosomal RNA
Source: RNAcentral
CCUACGGGUGGCAGCAGUGGGGAAUAUUGGACAAUGGGGGCAACCCUGAUCCAGCGACGCCGCGUGAGUGAAGAAGUAUCUCGGUACGUAAAGCUCUAUCAGCAGGGAAGAAAAAAAGACGGUACCUGACUAAGAAGCCCCGGCUAACUACGUGCCAGCAGCCGCGGUAAUACGUAGGGGGCAAGCGUUAUCCGGAAUUACUGGGUGUAAAGGGAGCGUAGACGGCUAUGCAAGUCUGGAGUGAAAUGCCGGGGCUCAACCCCGGAGCUGCUCUGGAAACUGCGUGGCUUGAGUGUCGGAGGGGCAGGCGGAAUUCCCAGUGUAGCGGUGAAAUGCGUAGAUAUUGGGAGGAACACCGGCGGCGAAGGCGGCCUGCUGGACGACAACUGACGUUGAGGCUCGAAGGCGUGGGUAGCAAACAGGAUUAGAUACCCUGGUAGUC